GGAGGUGUAGCUCACUGGCAGAGCAAGUAUUUAACAGGCAUAAGGCCCUGGGUUUGAUCCCCAGCACCACAA
Molecule: transfer RNA, 72 nt
Filed under: Heterocephalus glaber (naked mole-rat)
Lineage: Eukaryota; Metazoa; Chordata; Mammalia; Rodentia; Bathyergidae
Rfam family: tRNA
About the family: Transfer RNA (tRNA) molecules are approximately 80 nucleotides in length. Their secondary structure includes four short double-helical elements and three loops (D, anti-codon, and T loops). Further hydrogen bonds mediate the characteristic L-shaped molecular structure. tRNAs have two regions of fundamental functional importance: the anti-codon, which is responsible for specific mRNA codon recognition, and the 3' end, to which the tRNAs corresponding amino acid is attached (by aminoacyl-tRNA synthetases). tRNAs cope with the degeneracy of the genetic code in two manners: having more than one tRNA (with a specific anti-codon) for a particular amino acid; and 'wobble' base-pairing, i.e. permitting non-standard base-pairing at the 3rd anti-codon position.
Source: Rfam by way of RNAcentral